Long non-coding RNA from Lycium barbarum (goji berry), 1130 nucleotides. RefSeq lists it as uncharacterized. Lineage: Eukaryota; Viridiplantae; Streptophyta; Magnoliopsida; Solanales; Solanaceae. The transcript has 3 exons. The record is from RefSeq and is a predicted model, not a curated record.
CUUUUACUUUCUUCGAUCUCUAACCCAAAACUCUCUUGCUGAAAUUUUCCUUGCUCCUUGCUCCCAUCAAACUAUGAAUUUCUUUGUUUCUUGUUCUUUGAUCAAAUCCGCAAAAUGACAAGAACUAGACCUUCUUCUUCUACUGCUCGUGAUGUUCCUUCUUCUUCUAGACCACUACCGACGCUUGCCGGCGAUGGUAUCAAAGUUGAAGAGGCUCCAUCCGAAACCAUUGACACCUCCUUCUCGUUUCUCCCCGACUUGUAUAAUUUCAAUAAUGAUUUUUCCUUUUGUGCCGCAAUUACUCAGAACGACUGGGGUGAAAUGGUUAAAAAUUACCCUUGUUCAAUCACAGCUUCUACCCUCGAGAUGUUCCGAAAAGGAUUGUCACUGUGAAUCCAUUUCUCAAAUCAUUAUUCCCAGUGAAAAUGAUGACAUUACCACCCCAAGUCUUAGUUUCUCGAACGCGUACACAUAUCCGUUUGCACUUGGCUUAAAUUUGGGGAUCAAUCCAGCGAUAAUCGAAAUGUACAAACGAUACAACGUUUGCCUUGCUCAAGUCGGUCCAUCCAUGUGGAGAGUGGUGGCUUGCAUCCGGUCAUUGGCCAAUGAGGCCAAAUUACCUUUCAUUUUAAGCCAUCUAAUUCGUCUCUGUACUCCUAAAUUUUUUUCGAGGUGGAGUUAUCACCAUUUCGAAGCGAGGUAAAACCUCGUUCAUCACCAGUCUAGACGAAGACAAACAGAGGCUGGAUGGAAAGAUUUGUCGUUGUUCCUAGAGCGAAAAUUAUUCCAAAAGAAGAUAUGCCCUUCCCAGAGGCAUAGAACUUAUCUCGUUCGAGAAAUUUUGGGCAUUUCAAUUUACGAAUCCUGAAAUUGGAAAGAAAUGCCCCGUGAUGGAUAGCAAAGAACCAAGGUUUUCCCAAAGAAACUGUGCGCCUGAGGGUGAUCAUGUCGACCCUAUUCUUAACCUGGCGGCUUUCGCUCGCCGAAUCACCCGAGCAACAAAGAAGACGCAGAAGAUGAUUAGUUUACAAGAAAACUUUAUCUACUACAUCAAUAAAAGUUAGUUUUUUGCUAUUAAAUCUUUCUAUGAUGUAAAAUCAAUUCAAGUUUAUUCUAUUUGAUCUGCCAAA